AUUGAACGCUGGCGGCAUGCCUUACACAUGCAAGUCGAACGGUAACGGGCCUUCGGGUGCCGACGAGUGGCGAGCGGGUGAGUAAUACAUCGGAACGUGCCCGAUCGUGGGGGAUAACGAGGCGAAAGCUUUGCUAAUACCGCAUACGAUCUACGGAUGAAAGCAGGGGACCGCAAGGCCUUGCGCGGACGGAGCGGCCGAUGGCAGAUUAGGUAGUUGGUGGGAUAAAAGCUUACCAAGCCGACGAUCUGUAGCUGGUCUGAGAGGAUGAUCAGCCACACUGGGACUGAGACACGGCCCAGACUCCUACGGGAGGCAGCAGUGGGGAAUUUUGGACAAAGGGCGCAAGCCUGAUCCAGCCAUGCCGCGUGCAGGAUGAAGGCCUUCGGGUUGUAAACUGCUUUUGUACGGAACGAAAAGCCUUCUUUUAAUACAGGAGGGUCAUGACGGUACCGUAAGAAUAAGCACCGGCUAACUACGUG
Molecule: ribosomal RNA, 482 nt
Filed under: uncultured bacterium
Lineage: Bacteria
Description: partial 16S ribosomal RNA
Rfam family: Bacterial small subunit ribosomal RNA
Source: RNAcentral